RNAcentral lists this ribosomal RNA (253 nucleotides) under uncultured bacterium. Its description in RNAcentral is "partial 16S ribosomal RNA". It matches the Rfam family "Bacterial small subunit ribosomal RNA", at positions 524 to 776 of the family's 1533-position model. The record is from RNAcentral.
UACGAAGGGGGCUAGCGUUGCUCGGAAUCACUGGGCGUAAAGCGCACGUAGGCGGCUUUCUAAGUCAGGGGUGAAAUCCUGGAGCUCAACUCCAGAACUGCCUUUGAUACUGGAGAGCUUGAGUUCGAGAGAGGUGGGUGGAAUUCCUAGUGUAGAGGUGAAAUUCGUAGAUAUUAGGAAGAACACCGGUGGCGAAGGCGGCCCACUGGCUCGAUACUGACGCUGAGGUGCGAAAGCGUGGGGAGCAAACAGG